UGAGCAAGCCACACAGGAGUGCCGAG
RNAcentral lists this non-coding RNA (26 nucleotides) under Mus musculus (house mouse). Lineage: Eukaryota; Metazoa; Chordata; Mammalia; Rodentia; Muridae. The record is from RNAcentral.